Crotalus tigris (Tiger rattlesnake) is the source of this 2313-nucleotide RNA transcript. RefSeq lists it as uncharacterized. The transcript is spliced from 3 exons. The record is from RefSeq and is a predicted model, not a curated record. NCBI's taxonomy places the organism in Eukaryota, Metazoa, Chordata, Lepidosauria, Squamata, Viperidae.
AAGAAAGAAAGAAAGAAAGAAAGAAAGAAAGAAAGAAAGAAAGAAAGAAAGAAAGAAAGAAAGGACUCCCCAUUCAGAGGUCCAGAGGGUAUUUAUAAAACCAGAAACUGUUUUGAUUUGCAAUGCCCCAUUUUAAGAGAGGCUGCAGAGUUUCUACAGGUGGCCUCUGGAAGUUCCCUGAAGCAUCCAGGGGAGGAUUUAGAGUUAAGGCUCUGGGUACAAAAGCCGCCUUUUACAACUUGGGCUGAUUUCCGAACACGCCUGAUUUCCAGGAAUCAGUGCAAAGCAGAAACUGAAACUAAACAGGCUGCAUAAAAAGCACUCGCAUCCGCUCGAGCUUCACAAAAGCAUCGAAACCCCUCGCAGAGCGAAUAUAGCCGGUUUUGGCUCCUCUCCAGUCUGAACUUCAAAGACAAACAAGUUCCGACGCCGAAAUGGCUGUCCAGCCCAAAGUUGCGCUUGCUACGAGAGCCGUGAUGAACAUUAGCAAAGCAGAGGAAGUCCGAAAGGAGACAGAACUGAUGAUGAAGCCCCACGCAAAUUGGGAGGAGUAUCUGAUGCCUGGGCCCAUUUCUAUCGCCCUCUUAGGGGAGCUGGCUUGCAUUGCUGCAGGAGAAGGAGACUUUGCCAUCAAUCUUGCCCCACCCGAGGGAGGCUACAAAUAUAUGAGGUAUCCGGACUCUUUCCGGGCCUCCCUGAUGCAGGUGAGCAACAGUGGGUGGCAUGCCUUCAGCAUAGCCCACAAGAAUAUGGAUGGCAUCCGGCUGCUUUCUAUGAGCGUCCCUGAGCAAAUCAAGAUGGUCAUGAAGACCUUAUUCCAGGGUGACCUUACCUUGAUAGAUGCCUUGCUCCCUGGACAGCUAUCCAGCCUGAAAUCAAUUGCAAAUGAAUGUUCCUCUUUGGCUAAGGCAGUUGACAAUAAGUUCAAUGAUGUCAUCUGUCUGACUGAGGAACUCCUGGAAGUGUGUAUGAGUUCCAAAUCACAGUAUGAACAAGGAUUGACGCAAACCAAACAUGCCUUGGAAGACCUGAAGCUAAGAAAAGCAGCAGCUGAAGAAGCCCAGGCCAAAGCAGAGCAAUACUACAAGGAAGUAAAGAACAGAGUGACUGAUACGUUUGACGAUUAUAGAAAAAUGAUAGAUAGCAUUCCUACUGGCUGGAGUAGUGUAAAUCUGGAUUUCACUUCAACUGUAAGAGAAACCUUGACGGUGCCCAUUACCUGCCUGACAUCCUUGCUCAGCUUUAACGGAAAUAAGUUGCUUUCUCCAAUCGACAGCAGAAGUGAGGAAGAGUUUGAAAGUAGGGAUGACUUUAUAGCCAUGAACAACAUCUGUGCCCUGUCAGGUCAAAUGGUGGUAUUGGUGGACGGUCUUAAAACCGUGGUGGAUGAUGAAGGUAAUAUUGACAUGGAUGUCCUCUACAAUAAAAAAAACAACGAAAUCAAAACCAUAUGGAUCAAAAAGAAAUCCCAGCAACUGUUAGAGAAAAUAAAAAAAGAAAGAAACUGCAGCCUGAAAAAUGUGGCAGUGAAAAUAUGUAACGAUAUCAUCACGAUUUCCAAUAUGUUAACUGAAAGAGCAGUGUCAGGGAACAUAAACCAGAAAAAACUGAUAAAGAAAAUGAACACCCUCUCGAUUGAUAUUGAGGUUUUCGACAGCAGAAGCAAAUUCUGCAGCCGCACAUCCCCUUUUGGUCCCAUGGCACCAAAUAUGUCCAAAUCCCAGAGAAAUGUCCAAGAAGACUCAUCGUUGUCAUCGGCGAUGAAAAACAGCCUUUUGAAAACCGAGCAAACGAAAGAAAUACUGAAGAUGUGUCAAGAAGAAUACCAGAAAAGCUUCGACAACUUAAAGGAGCAGAAUAAGGAUUUGCUGGACGUGCUCAGUGAAAUGAAGAAAUGCGAAAUAAAGGAGAUUGAUUUUGAAAAAGCCCAAAACAUGCUGAUCAAGAGAAAGAGGUUAAUCAAAUCAGCCAGAAUGAACAGAGUAAUUAAACAUUGAGUUUUGGGUUAGAUAAUAAGAAUUUCUUUUAUUUGGUUGUUAAUCAUACAGUUAUUAACUGCUAUUACACUAUGUUGUUUUCCAUAUGGUUGCAAUCUUAAGACUGAAAUAGGAUUUUUUUUAACUCUUUUUGCCGUUCAGUUGUUACUUUUACAUGUUAAUAUUUCUUUUACUGAUUCAUUACAGCUUUUCUGCCACAUAUAAGAACUAUGUUAGUCAUUCUGAAGUUACUAAACAUUAUAGUAAACAACUCUCCUGCAUUAAAUUCUUUCUUUUAUGCUAGAAAGAGUCAAUAAAUGUCUAUUCUCUAAAAUUG